GACGAACGCUGGCGGCGUGCUUAACACAUGCAAGUCGAACGGAAAGGCCCUGCUUUUGUGGGGUGCUCGAGUGGCGAACGGGUGAGUAACACGUGAGUAACCUGCCCUUGACUUUGGGAUAACUUCAGGAAACUGGGGCUAAUACCGGAUAGGAGCUCCUGCUGCAUGGUGGGGGUUGGAAAGUUUCGGCGGUUGGGGAUGGACUCGCGGCUUAUCAGCUUGUUGGUGGGGUAGUGGCUUACCAAGGCUUUGACGGGUAGCCGGCCUGAGAGGGUGACCGGCCAAAUUGGGACUGGGAUACGGCCCAGACUCCUACGGGAGGCAGCAGGGGGGAAAAUUGCACAAGGGGCGGAAGCCUGAUGCAGAAACGCCGCGGGCGGGAUGACGGCCUUCGGGUUGUAAACCGCUUUCGCCUGUGACGAAGCGUGAGUGACGGUAAUGGGAAAAGAAGCACCGGCUAACUACGU
This 467-nucleotide ribosomal RNA is filed under the name uncultured bacterium. RNAcentral describes it as "partial 16S ribosomal RNA". It matches the Rfam family "Bacterial small subunit ribosomal RNA", at positions 28 to 506 of the family's 1533-position model. The record is from RNAcentral.